RNAcentral lists this ribosomal RNA (480 nucleotides) under uncultured bacterium. RNAcentral's name for it is "bacterial SSU rRNA". It matches the Rfam family "Bacterial small subunit ribosomal RNA", at positions 29 to 489 of the family's 1533-position model. The record is from RNAcentral.
AAUCAACGCUGGCGGCGUGCCUAACACAUGCAAGUCGAACGCGAAAGUCCCGCAAGGGAUCGGUAGAGUGGCAAACGGGUGAGUAACACGUGGGUGACCUGCCUUCGAGUGGGGAUAACGUCCCGAAAGGGACGCUAAUACCGCAUAACAUGCUGCCUUUUAAGAGGUGGACAGCAAAGCUGGGGAUCGCAAGACCUAGCGCUUGAAGAGGGGCCCGCGUCCGAUUAGCUAGNGGUGGGGUAACGGCUCACCAAGGCAACGAUCGGUAGCCGGCCUGAGAGGGCGGACGGCCACACUGGGACUGAGACACGGCCCAGACUCCUACGGGAGGCAGCAGUGGGGAAUUGUUCGCAAUGGGCGCAAGCCUGACGACGCAACGCCGCGUGGAGGAUGAAGAUCUUCGGGUCGUAAACUCCUUUCGAUCGAGACGAACGGCCUCCGGGUGAACAAGUCCGGGGAGUGACGGUACCGAGAGAAGAA